Molecule: small RNA, 185 nt
Filed under: Mycobacterium sp. NAZ190054
Lineage: Bacteria; Bacillati; Actinomycetota; Actinomycetes; Mycobacteriales; Mycobacteriaceae
Description: Actinobacteria sRNA Ms_IGR-5
Rfam family: Actinobacteria sRNA Ms_IGR-5
Source: Rfam by way of RNAcentral
ACACAGGGAAGGAGGUGGUCCGACAAAUUGAUUGACUUAUGGACAUGUGAGGUGGCUGCGAGCUAGCAGCGCCAGGGAGAGCGCUCGACGCACCUGUGCGCGCUGGCGAAUUCCCCGCAGUCACCCGGCCCCCGAGCCCCUCGGUCUUGUCCGACCCAGGAACAACGGCUCGGGGGCCGCUCCAU